This 486-nucleotide ribosomal RNA is filed under the name uncultured bacterium. RNAcentral describes it as "partial 16S ribosomal RNA". It matches the Rfam family "Bacterial small subunit ribosomal RNA", at positions 30 to 507 of the family's 1533-position model. The record is from RNAcentral.
AUUGAACGCUGGCGGCAUGCCUUACACAUGCAAGUCGAACGGCAGCACGGGUGCUUGCCCCUGGUGGCGAGUGGCGAACGGGUGAGUAAUACAUCGGAACAUGUCCUGUAGUGGGGGAUAGCCCGGCGAAAGCCGGAUUAAUACCGCAUACGAUCUACGGAUGACAGCGGGGGGCCUUCGGGCCUCGCGCUAUAGGGUUGGCCGAUAGCUGAUUAGAUAGUUGGUGGGGUAAAGGCCUACCAAGGCGACGAUCAGUAGCUGGUCUGAGAGGACGACCAGCCACACUGGGACUGAGACACGGCCCAGACUCCUACGGGAGGCAGCAGUGGGGAAUUUUGGACAAUGGGCGAAAGCCUGAUCCAGCAAUGCCGCGUGUGUGAAGAAGGCCUUCGGGUUGUAAAGCACUUUUGUCCGGAAAGAAAUCCUUGGCUCUAAUACAGUCGGGGGAUGACGGUACCGGAAGAAUAAGCACCGGCUAACUACGUG